UGGCCUAUAGUGUAAUGGUAGCACCACAGAUUCUGACUCUGUUAGCCUAGGUUCAAGUCCUGGUAGGCCAA
This 71-nucleotide transfer RNA is filed under the name Candidatus Fibrimonadales bacterium. RNAcentral's name for it is "tRNA-Gln". It matches the Rfam family "tRNA". From Rfam's summary of the family: Transfer RNA (tRNA) molecules are approximately 80 nucleotides in length. Their secondary structure includes four short double-helical elements and three loops (D, anti-codon, and T loops). Further hydrogen bonds mediate the characteristic L-shaped molecular structure. tRNAs have two regions of fundamental functional importance: the anti-codon, which is responsible for specific mRNA codon recognition, and the 3' end, to which the tRNAs corresponding amino acid is attached (by aminoacyl-tRNA synthetases). tRNAs cope with the degeneracy of the genetic code in two manners: having more than one tRNA (with a specific anti-codon) for a particular amino acid; and 'wobble' base-pairing, i.e. permitting non-standard base-pairing at the 3rd anti-codon position. Lineage: Bacteria; Pseudomonadati; Fibrobacterota; Fibrobacteria; Candidatus Fibrimonadales. RNAcentral also lists the same sequence under 1 other name. The record is from RNAcentral.